Molecule: small nucleolar RNA, 69 nt
Organism: Trematomus bernacchii (emerald rockcod)
Lineage: Eukaryota; Metazoa; Chordata; Actinopteri; Perciformes; Nototheniidae
Product: small nucleolar RNA SNORD18
Exons: 1
Source: RefSeq, a predicted model, not a curated record
GAGCUAUGAUGAGUUUCCUACUUCCGGUCCGUGUUUCUGAACCCUGAUUUAUAUGGAAGUCCUGAGCGA